CUUGUAAUAUAUGUUGGGACACGUACUUGUGGGUUUGGUUCUUCUUUCACAGCUAACUAUACUUCUCUUUCAGGGCUCUUGGGACUGAACAGUGCAUAACAUGGCACAAACAACUGAAAACUGAAUCAAACCACGUAAGUUUUAGGGACCAGAUGAGGCUAUAUUGUUGGGUGUCCCAGCUGCCAUAUGCCACCUGCAUGCUGGCCGAGGAGUCACCUGGAGAUACCUAAAAGAAAAUCAGAGGGCAGAUGCAAAUCUGAUGCCUACGCCUAGCUUGGGAGAACUUCAGCAUGCCAAGCAGCGAGAGGUGGUUAAUGAUUGCAUGAAAUUAUCCAGCCUUUUAAAAAAAUCCACUCAAAGUUAUCAGAACCUUACAUCACAUGCCAGCAGAACCUGUAUGAGGCCCACUAGCAGCAGCAAAACUGAAGGAAGGUGAGUGACAGAUUAUUCACUUGCAUGGCAAAAUUUGUCUUAAGCCUCUUGUUCAUACCCACAGAAUCAGUCCUGAGGGACAUUUUACAGGAUGAU
Molecule: long non-coding RNA, 528 nt
Organism: Aquila chrysaetos chrysaetos
Lineage: Eukaryota; Metazoa; Chordata; Aves; Accipitriformes; Accipitridae
Exons: 3
Source: RefSeq, a predicted model, not a curated record